RNAcentral lists this ribosomal RNA (407 nucleotides) under uncultured bacterium. RNAcentral describes it as "partial 16S ribosomal RNA". It matches the Rfam family "Bacterial small subunit ribosomal RNA", at positions 28 to 526 of the family's 1533-position model. The record is from RNAcentral.
GACGAACGCUGGCGGCGUGCCUAAUACAUGCAAGUAGGACGCAGUUGCGAACGGGUGAGUAACGCGUGGGUAACUACCUGUUAGAGGGGGAUAACUGUUGGAAACGAUCGCUAAUACCGCAUACUAGUAGAUGGACCGGCGUUGGAUUAACUAGUAGGUUGGGUAAUGGCCUACCUAGGCUACGAUACCUAGCCGAGCCGGUAGGGUGAACGGCCAACAUGGGACGGGUAAAAGGCCCCGACUCCUACGGGAGGCAGCAGGAGGGAAUCUUCGGCAAUGGGGGGAAACCUGACCGAGCAACGCCGCGGGAUUGAAGAAGGUUUUUGGGUCGUAAAGCCCCGUUGUGAAGGAAGCGGUACUUAACCAGAAAGGGACGGCUAACUACGUGCCAGCCGCCGCGGUAAUUC